RNAcentral lists this ribosomal RNA (468 nucleotides) under uncultured bacterium. RNAcentral's name for it is "partial 16S ribosomal RNA". It matches the Rfam family "Bacterial small subunit ribosomal RNA", at positions 28 to 507 of the family's 1533-position model. The record is from RNAcentral.
GACGAACGCUGGCGGCGUGCUUAACACAUGCAAGUCGAACGGAAAGACCCUGCUUUUGUGGGGUGCUCGAGUGGCGAACGGGUGAGUAACACGUGAGUAACCUGCCCUUGACUUUGGGAUAACUUCAGGAAACUGGGGCUAAUACCGGAUAGGAGCUCCUGCUGCAUGGUGGGGGUUGGAAAGUUUCGGCGGUUGGGGAUGGACUCGCGGCUUAUCAGCUUGUUGGUGGGGUAGUGGCUUACCAAGGCUUUGACGGGUAGCCGGCCUGAGAGGGUGACCGGCCACAUUGGGACUGAGAUACGGCACAGACGCCUACGGGAGGCAGCAGUGGGGAAUAUUGCACAAUGGGCGGAAGCCUGAUGCAGCAACGCCGCGUGCGGGAUGACGGCCUUCGGGUUGUAAACCGCUUUCGCCUGUGACGAAGCGUGAGUGACGGUAAUGGGUAAAGAAGCACCGGCUAACUACGUG